This is a long non-coding RNA of Spea bombifrons (plains spadefoot toad), 595 nucleotides long. RefSeq lists it as uncharacterized. NCBI's taxonomy places the organism in Eukaryota, Metazoa, Chordata, Amphibia, Anura, Pelobatidae. The record is from RefSeq and is a predicted model, not a curated record. The transcript is spliced from 3 exons.
GCAGCUUGCAGACCAAAGGUUUUACUCCACAUACAGAAAUGGGGAAUGAAAAUACUCAUGUUGCUAAUGCUUGUAAGGAUGAGCUCUAUGUCUUCUUUGAAUCAAGAAAGCUGCAUAUCCAAGAAAUAGCGGUAGAUGCAACGAUAAACGGUGGUGUUAGCGUGAAGCACCGGGUGGAAUCACACCUAGAUAUGGGAGUUUCCGUGUCGGUGCUUUUAAAACCAGAUCUCAGGGUUCAGUUUCUGCGGUGCCCUUCCAGGAAAUAUAUCAAGAUUGCUGCACAAGGGGAUUUAUAUAUAACAAUCAUAGCCAAACGUGGAUCUAAGGAUGAAUUGAUAACAUUCAAUUUCUUUGUCCCGAGUGACCGUUCCAUUAUCGUUAUUGAAAAUGGAAUGAUCAAGUUUGCAGAAUACGGGUCACUUUGGAAGGAUGAAGACGGAAAUUACUACUGAUGCCAAAAAAACUGUGAUCCACUGCAUCAGACAACUGUGCUGUUUAUACCACGACUGAAGACUGGGAUGACCUUCAGUCUAUUCUUUAGAUACAACCUUUUUAACGUAUUACACACCUAAACAAAUAAAAUAAAAUGUUUAUA